UUGCAUUUGUCAACAAUCUGCCUCUAUUCAGUAUUUUCAAUUUUGUCUUUUAAUAUUUAUUGAAAAAUAAUCGUAAUUCAUGAAUAAAUCCAAGCUAGUCACUGCCUACAAAAUUCUUCAGUGUGGCCAGGCAUUACUAUCCAGGCUACGUUGCCUUUACCAUUCGAAUGAAAAUGGCCAGAAUCAUGAAGACUGUUUUCGAGGCUGUGGAUAAAAUUUACUUCGUUUUAACAAUGAUGCUUCAGAUUACUAAUGCCUGUUUCAGCAGUUAAAUUCAUGCACGCAUUGGCCCUCUUUGUGCUGACUUGGAGUGCCACCCUUGAUGAGAACAGAGAGAGAAAGGAAUGGAGUGAGAAGAAAAACUGGAAAUCCA
Molecule: long non-coding RNA, 373 nt
Organism: Homo sapiens (human)
Lineage: Eukaryota; Metazoa; Chordata; Mammalia; Primates; Hominidae
Exons: 3
Source: RefSeq, a predicted model, not a curated record